Molecule: ribosomal RNA, 263 nt
Filed under: uncultured bacterium
Lineage: Bacteria
Description: partial 16S ribosomal RNA
Rfam family: Bacterial small subunit ribosomal RNA
Source: RNAcentral
GUCCACGCCGUAAACGAUGGGCACUAGGUGUGGGAGGUGUCGACUCCUCCCGUGCCGGCGCUAACGCAUUAAGUGCCCCGCCUGGGGAGUACGGCCGCAAGGCUAAAACUCAAAGGAAUUGACGGGGGCCCGCACAAGCAGCGGAGCAUGUGGUUUAAUUCGACGCAACGCGAAGAACCUUACCUGGGCUUGACAUGUGGGUGACAGUCGUGGAAACACGAUCUUCCUUCGGGACACCCUCACAGGUGGUGCAUGGCUGUCGU